CAGUCGUGAGGAAGGUUAGUGUAGUUAAUAGCUGCAUUAUUUGACGUUAGCGACAGAAGAAGCACCGGCUAACUCCGUGCCAGCAGCCGCGGUAAUACGGAGGGUGCGAGCGUUAAUCGGAAUUACUGGGCGUAAAGCGCAUGCAGGUGGUUUGUUAAGUCAGAUGUGAAAGCCCGGGGCUCAACCUCGGAAUAGCAUUUGAAACUGGCAGACUAGAGUACUGUAGAGGGGGUAGAAUUUCAGGUGUAGCGGUGAAAUGCGUAGAGAUCUGAAGGAAUACCGGUGGCGAAGGCGGCCCCCUGGACAGAUACUGACACUCAGAUGCGAAAGCGUGGGGAGCAAACAGGAUUAGAUACCCUGGUAG
This 364-nucleotide ribosomal RNA is filed under the name uncultured bacterium. RNAcentral describes it as "bacterial SSU rRNA". It matches the Rfam family "Bacterial small subunit ribosomal RNA", at positions 434 to 793 of the family's 1533-position model. The record is from RNAcentral.